UACGAAGGGGGCUAGCGUUGCUCGGAAUCACUGGGCGUAAAGCGCACGUAGGCGGAUUGCUAAGUCAGGGGUGAAAUCCUGGAGCUCAACUCCAGAACUGCCUUUGAUACUGGCGACCUUGAGUCCGGGAGAGGUGAGUGGAACUGCGAGUGUAGAGGUGAAAUUCGUAGAUAUUCGCAAGAACACCAGUGGCGAAGGCGGCUCACUGGCCCGGUACUGACGCUGAGGUGCGAAAGCAUGGGGAGCGAACAGG
RNAcentral lists this ribosomal RNA (253 nucleotides) under uncultured bacterium. Its description in RNAcentral is "partial 16S ribosomal RNA". It matches the Rfam family "Bacterial small subunit ribosomal RNA", at positions 524 to 776 of the family's 1533-position model. The record is from RNAcentral.